RNAcentral lists this ribosomal RNA (497 nucleotides) under uncultured bacterium. RNAcentral describes it as "partial 16S ribosomal RNA". It matches the Rfam family "Bacterial small subunit ribosomal RNA", at positions 28 to 507 of the family's 1533-position model. The record is from RNAcentral.
GACGAACGCUGGCGGCGUGCCUAAUACAUGCAAGUAGAACGCUGAAGAGAGGAGCUUGCUCUUCUUGGAUGAGUUGCGAACGGGUGAGUAACGCGUAGGUAACCUGCCUUGUAGCGGGGGAUAACUAUUGGAAACGAUAGCUAAUACCGCAUAACAAUGGAUGACACAUGUCAUUUAUUUGAAAGGGGCAAUUGCUCCACUACAAGAUGGACCUGCGUUGUAUUAGCUAGUAGGUGAGGUAAUGGCUCACCUAGGCGACGAUACAUAGCCGACCUGAGAGGGUGAUCGGCCACACUGGGACUGAGACACGGCCCAGACUCCUACGGGAGGCAGCAGUAGGGAAUCUUCGGCAAUGGGGGCAACCCUGACCGAGCAACGCCGCGUGAGUGAAGAAGGUUUUCGGAUCGUAAAGCUCUGUUGUAAGUCAAGAACGGGUGUGAGAGUGGAAAGUUCACACUGUGACGGUAGCUUACCAGAAAGGGAUGGCUAACUACGUG